AGCGAACGCUGGCGGCAGGCUUAACACAUGCAAGUCGAGCGGACCUUUCGGGGUCAGCGGCGGACGGGUGAGUAACGCGUGGGAACGUGCCUUCCGGUUCGGAAUAACCCUGGGAAACUAGGGCUAAUACCGGAUACGCCCUUAUGGGGAAAGGUUUACUGCCGGAAGAUCGGCCCGCGUCUGAUUAGCUAGUUGGUGGGGUAACGGCCUACCAAGGCGACGAUCAGUAGCUGGUCUGAGAGGAUGAUCAGCCACACUGGGACUGAGACACGGCCCAGACUCCUACGGGAGGCAGCAGUGGGGAAUAGUGGACAAUGGGCGCAGGCCUGAUCCAGCCAUGCCGCGUGAGUGAUGAAGGCCUUAGGGUUGUAAAGCUCUUUUAUCCGGGACGAUAAUGACGGUACCGGAGGAAUAAGCCCCGGCUAACUUCGUG
This 433-nucleotide ribosomal RNA is filed under the name uncultured bacterium. Its description in RNAcentral is "partial 16S ribosomal RNA". It matches the Rfam family "Bacterial small subunit ribosomal RNA", at positions 29 to 507 of the family's 1533-position model. The record is from RNAcentral.